Molecule: ribosomal RNA, 253 nt
Filed under: uncultured bacterium
Lineage: Bacteria
Description: partial 16S ribosomal RNA
Rfam family: Bacterial small subunit ribosomal RNA
Source: RNAcentral
UACGUAGGGUGCUAGCGUUGUUCGGAAUCAUUGGGCGUAAAGCGCGUGUAGGCGGUUAGUUAAGUCGGGUGUGAAAUCCCUGGGCUCGACCGAGGAAGUGCAUCCGAAACUAAUUAGCUAGAGAAUGGUAGAGGGAGGUGGAAUUCCGUGUGUAGAGGUGAAAUUCGUAGAUAUACGGAGGAAUACCGGUGGCGAAGGCGGCCUCCUGGACCAUUUCUGACGCUGAGACGCGAAAGCGUGGGGAGCAAACAGG